GCCAUCAUGUAGUCCCACCGGUCCAGGUCGCACACAUUGAAGCCUUGUCCUUCUGAGGUGGAGGAAAUGAUCAGCAAUGGGACAUUUCGGUCUCGAUUCUGCAGGACGCCAACUGUCCAUGCACACAGGAACCAGCUGACAUGCCACCCAGCUAUUAUGAUUUCAACUGCAGUGCAGUAAUCUGAAAAGAAGCUUUGAAUCCCACACUCACUGGAAAGUAAAGCAACAGAGAGCCACACAGGAUCAUCUCCAGCAGCAAAAGCCCCGACGAUCGGAUCCGCUGAGAGACAGAAAGAUGCAUGCUAAUAAGCACAAGGACCAUGAAGAGACCCUGCACAGCCAGGACGCCCGUUCUCAGGAGCCAGUCUUCCUGCACCCAACACGGGCCUCCGUCCUCACACUCAGCACAGCCGGGCCAACAGGGCAG
This is a long non-coding RNA of Rhinichthys klamathensis goyatoka, 427 nucleotides long. RefSeq lists it as uncharacterized. The record is from RefSeq and is a predicted model, not a curated record. Lineage: Eukaryota; Metazoa; Chordata; Actinopteri; Cypriniformes; Leuciscidae. The transcript is spliced from 3 exons.